Molecule: ribosomal RNA, 427 nt
Filed under: uncultured bacterium
Lineage: Bacteria
Description: partial 16S ribosomal RNA
Rfam family: Bacterial small subunit ribosomal RNA
Source: RNAcentral
UGGGGAAUAUUGCACAAUGGGCGCAAGCCUGAUGCAGCCAUGCCGCGUGUAUGAAGAAGGCCUUCGGGUUGUAAAGUACUUUCAGCGGGGAGGAAGGUGUUGUGGUUAAUAACCACAGCAAUUGACGUUACCCGCAGAAGAAGCACCGGCUAACUCCGUGCCAGCAGCCGCGGUAAUACGGAGGGUGCAAGCGUUAAUCGGAAUUACUGGGCGUAAAGCGCACGCAGGCGGUCUGUCAAGUCGGAUGUGAAAUCCCCGGGCUCAACCUGGGAACUGCAUUCGAAACUGGCAGGCUAGAGUCUUGUAGAGGGGGGUAGAAUUCCAGGUGUAGCGGUGAAAUGCGUAGAGAUCUGGAUGAAUACCGGUGGCGAAGGCGGCCCCCUGGACAAAGACUGACGCUCAGGUGCGAAAGCGUGGGGAGCAAACA